This 512-nucleotide ribosomal RNA is filed under the name uncultured bacterium. RNAcentral's name for it is "partial 16S ribosomal RNA". It matches the Rfam family "Bacterial small subunit ribosomal RNA", at positions 28 to 523 of the family's 1533-position model. The record is from RNAcentral.
GAUGAACGCUGGCGGCGUGCCUAAUACAUGCAAGUCGAGCGAAUGGAUGAGAGCUUGCUCUCAGAAGUUAGCGGCGGACGGGUGAGUAACACGUGGGUAACCUGCCCUUAAGACUGGGACAACAUCGAGAAAUCGGUGCUAAUACCGGAUAAUUUAUUUGACCGCAUGGUCGAAUAAUGAAAGGUGGCGUAAGCUACCACUUAUGGAUGGACCCGCGGCGUAUUAGCUAGUUGGUGAGGUAAUGGCUCACCAAGGCAACGAUACGUAGCCGACCUGGGAGGGUGAUCGGCCACACUGGGACUGAGACACGGCCCAGACUCCUACGGGAGGCAGCAGUAGGGAAUCUUCCGCAAUGGACGAAAGUCUGACGGAGCAACGCCGCGUGAGUGAUGAAGGCUUUCGGGUCGUAAAACUCUGUUGUUAGGGAAGAACAAGUACCGUUCGAAUAGGGCGGUACCUUGACGGUACCUAACCAGAAGCCACGGCUAACUACGUGCCAGCAGCCGCAGUAA